UUGGCGGACGGGUGAGUAACACGUGAGCAACCUGCCUUCGAGAGGGGAAUAACGGCUGGAAACGGUCGCUAAUACCGCAUAAUGUACGGAUGGGACAUCCUGUCUGUACCAAAGAUUUAUCGCUCGAAGAUGGGCUCGCGUCCGAUUAGGUAGUUGGUGAGGUAACGGCCCACCAAGCCGACGAUCGGUAGCCGGACUGAGAGGUUGAACGGCCACAUUGGGACUGAGACACGGCCCAGACUCCUACGGGAGGCAGCAG
This 259-nucleotide ribosomal RNA is filed under the name uncultured bacterium. RNAcentral's name for it is "partial 16S ribosomal RNA". It matches the Rfam family "Bacterial small subunit ribosomal RNA", at positions 95 to 354 of the family's 1533-position model. The record is from RNAcentral.